UUGUAGGGGUGACGGCGUGCCUUUUGAAGAAUGAGCCUGCGAGUUAGUGCUCUGUGGCGAGGUUAACCCGUGUGGGGCAGCCGUAGCGAAAGCGAGUCCGAAUAGGGCGAUUCAGUCGCAGGGUCUAGACCCGAAGCGAAGUGAUCUAUCCAUGGCCAGGUUGAAGCGACGGUAAGACGUCGUGGAGGACCGAACCCACUUCAGUUGAAAAUGGAGGGGAUGAGCUGUGGAUAGGGGUGAAAGGCCAAUCAAACUUCGUGAUAGCUGGUUCUCUCCGAAAUGCAUUUAGGUGCAGCGUUGCGUGUUUCUUGCCGGAGGUAGAGCUACUGGAUGGCCGAUGGGGCCCAAAAGCUUACUGACGUCAGCCAAACUCCGAAUGCCGGUAAGUGAGAGCGCAGCAGUGAGACUGUGGGGGAUAAGCUUCAUAGUCGAGAGGGAAACAACCCAGACCACCAACUAAGGUCCCUAAGCGCGUGCUAAGUGGGAAAGGAUGUGGAGUUGCACAGACAACCAGGAGGUUGGCUUAGAAGCAGCCACCCUUGAAAGAGUGCGUAAUAGCUCACUGGUCAAGUGAUUCCGCGCCGACAAUGUAACGGGGCUCAAGCACGCCACCGAAGUUGUGGCAUUGACAUUAGUGGUAGGCCUUCGUGGUCCAGCCGUGUUGAUGGGUAGGAGAGCGUCGUGUGGCGAGUGAAGCGGCGGUGUGAACCAGCCGUGGAUGCCACACGAGUGAGAAUGCAGGCAUGAGUAGCGAAAGACGGGUGAGAAACCCGUCCUCCGGAAGACCAAGGGUUCCAGGGUCAAGCUAAUCUUCCCUGGGUAAGUCGGGACCUAAGGCGAGGCCGACAGGCGUAGUCGAUGGACAACGGGUUGAUAUUCCCGUACCGGCGAAGAACCGCCCAAGACAAUCCAGUAGUGCUAAGUAUCUGAAUCCCUUUGAUGGAUCCCUUCGGGGUGAAGCGUUGGGCCUAGCGUACGACCCCGUGCUGGUGCGUUUAGCGUAUUAACAGGUGUGACGCAGGAAGGUAGCCGAGCCGGGCGAUGGUUG
Molecule: ribosomal RNA, 1048 nt
Filed under: Rathayibacter sp. AY1A2
Lineage: Bacteria; Bacillati; Actinomycetota; Actinomycetes; Micrococcales; Microbacteriaceae
Description: bacterial LSU rRNA
Rfam family: Bacterial large subunit ribosomal RNA
Source: RNAcentral